Molecule: ribosomal RNA, 755 nt
Filed under: uncultured bacterium
Lineage: Bacteria
Description: bacterial SSU rRNA
Rfam family: Bacterial small subunit ribosomal RNA
Source: RNAcentral
UAGUGCUUGCCUAAAUGAAACUAGAUACAAGCGAGCGGCGGACGGGUGAGUAACACGUGGGUAACCUGCCCAAGAGACUGGGAUAACACCUGGAAACAGAUGCUAAUACCGGAUAACAACACUAGACGCAUGUCUAGAGUUUGAAAGAUGGUUCUGCUAUCACUCUUGGAUGGACCUGCGGUGCAUUAGCUAGUUGGUAAGGUAACGGCUUACCAAGGCAAUGAUGCAUAGCCGAGUUGAGAGACUGAUCGGCCACAUUGGGACUGAGACACGGCCCAAACUCCUACGGGAGGCAGCAGUAGGGAAUCUUCCACAAUGGACGAAAGUCUGAUGGAGCAACGCCGCGUGAGUGAAGAAGGGUUUCGGCUCGUAAAGCUCUGUUGGUAGUGAAGAAAGAUAGAGGUAGUAACUGGCCUUUAUUUGACGGUAAUUACUUAGAAAGUCACGGCUAACUACGUGCCAGCAGCCGCGGUAAUACGUAGGUGGCAAGCGUUGUCCGGAUUUAUUGGGCGUAAAGCGAGUGCAGGCGGUUCAAUAAGUCUGAUGUGAAAGCCUUCGGCUCAACCGGAGAAUUGCAUCAGAAACUGUUGAACUUGAGUGCAGAAGAGGAGAGUGGAACUCCAUGUGUAGCGGUGGAAUGCGUAGAUAUAUGGAAGAACACCAGUGGCGAAGGCGGCUCUCUGGUCUGCAACUGACGCUGAGGCUCGAAAGCAUGGGUAGCGAACAGGAUUAGAUACCCUGGUAGUCCAUGCCGU